RNAcentral lists this ribosomal RNA (430 nucleotides) under Pseudomonadota bacterium. Its description in RNAcentral is "Proteobacteria bacterium partial 16S ribosomal RNA". It matches the Rfam family "Bacterial small subunit ribosomal RNA", at positions 355 to 776 of the family's 1533-position model. Lineage: Bacteria; Pseudomonadati; Pseudomonadota. The record is from RNAcentral.
UGGGGAAUAUUGGACAAUGGGGGGAACCCUGAUCCAGCCAUGCCGCGUGUGUGAAGAAGGCCUUAUGGUUGUAAAGCACUUUAAGCGAGGAGGAGGGUACUGGUAUUAAUACUACCAGCUACUGGACGUUACUCGCAGAAUAAGCACCGGCUAACUCUGUGCCAGCAGCCGCGGUAAUACAGAGGGUGCGAGCGUUAAUCGGAUUUACUGGGCGUAAAGCGUGCGUAGGCGGCUAAUUGAGUCGGAUGUGAAAUCCCCGAGCUUAACUUGGGAAUUGCAUUCGAUACUGGUUAGCUAGAGUGUGGGAGAGGAUGGUAGAAUUCCAGGUGUGGCGGUGAAAUGCGUAGAGAUCUGGAGGAAUACCGAUGGCGAAGGCAGCCAUCUGGCCUAACACUGACGCUGAGGUACGAAAGCAUGGGGAGCAAACAGG